Molecule: long non-coding RNA, 5510 nt
Filed under: Homo sapiens (human)
Lineage: Eukaryota; Metazoa; Chordata; Mammalia; Primates; Hominidae
Description: non-protein coding lnc-MPLKIP-5:6
Source: RNAcentral
GAACAGUGGCUCGGAGGGCGCAGGCUGCCCGGCCUCCGCCCCCUGCAAGCUGAGGGCUGUCCGCGCUGUCUUUCCGACGGCCCCACCCCCGGCUCUCUGAGCUCCGCGAGGUGAAGUCAUCUCCCGGGGGCUCGGGAGUGGCCGCGGGCCUCGCGGAGGUUCCCGGAUCUCGGCGUCGUUGCCGCGGUGUCCUUGUCUUUCUUUUGGGGACCAGGAGGGGGUUCUUGGGGGAAGGAGGGGAGAGCGGAGGCCGCCAUCUUGCUUCUAGAGGGUCAGCUCAUGUUCCCUGGGCGUCUCAGGGUUGAGGCCGCUCGUGUGGCGUGGCCGGGGGUAUUCAGAGCGGAGCUGGCGACGUGGCUUGUCACGGGCCAAAUCCCAGGAGGCGGGUCAGCCGCCUACCCUGGCUGGAGGGUCUCGUGGCUGCCCUGGGCCUCAUCUAACUGCUGAUCCCCUGGAGAAUUCGCUUUCUCGGACGGUCUGCGAGUUCUUUCUGAGGGGUGUCGGACCCCCCUGCGACUCUGCAGGUGUCGGUGUGGCACUGAGAUCAUCUUGCGGCCCCAUGGCACUGUGAUUUGGUAGCUUGUGAGAAGUAGUUUCACUAAAUCCGUAAAUUUAAGUUAGCAGCUACAGAUUCUUAUGUCUUGACAUUUAUUCGCUUAUCUCUCUUUGCUCCCCACAAAUUGAGUACCAACUAUAUUCCUGGUAUGAGCCAUUCAAGGAAUGUCCAGUCUAGUGGGCAGACAUACAUGAAAGCAAAUCAUUGCUAUUGGAAGUAUGGUUUAUCAAGAUGUACAGCGUGAAGAAUGGAUAGCUUUACUAACGUAGGUUAGAGUUUUAAAGAUAAAUAGGCAUUUUCUACUACAAAAAUAGGGGUGGGAUGGCAAAUCCGGAUCCGAACAGAAAGGAGAUGCAGCACGGGGACAAAUAAUUUGUUGAGAAGAAUGAGUAAUAAUUACAGGUCUUGAAGUUCAAACUUAGGUUGCUGAAGAAGAUGAGGCUGGAGAAGAAAACAGGAGCCAAAUCACGAAUCGUCUAUGCCUUGGUGAGGCAAUGAGUGGACAGAUUACAAUUUAAGCUAUUCUUCUGUUGGUAGAGAACAGAUAACUUGGGGGGGUGGAGGUGGGGGGGCAGAGAAGGAUAAGCAGAGAGCCCACAAGGGGGCCAUUGCAGAAGCCAGUAAGAGAAAACUUAAGGACCCUGUGUGAAUGGUAGUGAGCAUCCAAAGGAGAUGGAUUCCUAAAAUAUUCAAGAGGCCAUAUCAACUGGUAAUUGGUUGCUAGGGGCAGCUGCCAGAUAGGAGAAUGGAAGAGGCAAUGAUGAUGCCUUGUUUUGCUUUGAGGGAGGGGCAGGAUAAGGGUGUAUUUUACUAAAUAAGAUAAGGAAGAGUUAGGAUGAGUCCUGGGAGGGGACAUUUUUGCAGAAAAAAAAUGAGUUCAGUUUUGGAGUUGAUGAGUGAAGUAAGAGUGGUGCUGUCUAAUGGUGGUUGCUAUAUGGGUCUAGAGCUCUAGGGAGGAGCUGGGCUGAAGUUGGAAACACCACAGGUUUAGAUGACCAUAACCAAGCUGACUGCAGUCUUACGUCAUUGAGCACAGUUUCAAAACCACUUCUCCUUUCUCCCUGCCUUUACUUGGGAAAAUUACUGAAAUACUGCAUUAAAAAACCCAAUAUGGUGAUAUGUGUCCAUCCAUAGACCAAUAUUCUAAUGUUUAAUGGUCUUCUAAGGACCCUAAAGGUCAGGUUUAGCAGAAACUGGAUGUAACAGUGGUAACUAUUAAUAGUAUAGCAUCAUUAACUCAUAAAAUGAAAUAUUAUCUAUGUUUAUAUUUUAAUAUUUUAAUUUUUUUCUUUUUUAUUCUGUAGGAAUUGCUCCAUUCCAAUAAAAAUAUUUUAAAUUUAAUCAUUGACAACAGUUAAGCUGGCCAUAGGCUGAGGAUUGAGGAUGGUGGGUUGCACAAAUAUCUGCUGAAUGGAGAGCUAGAAGGAGGAUGACUUCAAGAAGAGUCAGCAAUAGGAACGCAAUGAAAGACAACCUCAAAUUCAUUAGUCAGCCUGUCUCAGCUGCUUUUUGGUGGCUCACAGCUAUGCUAACCUAGCAUAAAGCAGUGAGAAAUAGAAUACUUCAUUUUGAGCAGAGCUUCAGAAAACCACAAAUAGUAAAAGCCCUAUAAAUAAUAGCUACAGCUGCAAACCAAAGACUAAUUAUUAGUUUUUAACUCUAUAUCCCUGUAGAGCAGCAUUUUUGAACACACAAAAAAAGAGAAACGCGUUCACUUACGUCUUAGAUUAUUUAAAUACAGUAUUCUCAAUUUGUCUAGGAUAAAAAAGCAUUUAGGUGUAUUGAACAACCAUAUAAUGGAUAAUAUACUGAACAGGAAAUGAGAAUAAUUAGCUUGAGUCCCUUUUUUGUCAGUUGUUCACCGUAUGACCCUAGCAAUGUUACUUAACCUCUCUAUGCCCUAGUUUCUCUGACUGUAAAAUAGAGAUAAUAAUAACUUUCUAUCAGCCGCCUCUCAAAGAUAUUAUAGGAAAUAACAAAUUAAUGCUAUGAAAGCUCUUUGAGGUACUUGGAUGAAAGGGCAUAAUUGUAAGUACAUAUUAUUAGUAAUUAGCACUAAUAUCCAGUAGCACCCAUGAGCAUUCCUGACUUUGCUGCCUGGAUUACUCAAAGAACAUGAAGGAUCCUGUUUUGAAAUACACUUAGAUCUUUUUUCUUAACUUGUGAAUUGACUUUACUAUUUAUGAUCAAACCUUGUGUAUUAACAAAUAUAGUUAAUGAAAGAGGGAAGUAAAAAGAAGUUUUGGUAACCACAACUUUUAUAUUCAUGCUACUCAUAGCUAAUAUAUGCUUUGGGGGAAAAUACAGGGUAGAUAGGGAUUUGCCAGAAGCAUGUUUUAGAAUUAAUGAUUAGUCUACUCCAGUCAGUUAACUGGAAUUUUGUAUUAAAAACAUUAUUCAUGUCCCCAUAGAAUAAUGCAGUCCCUAUAGAAUUUAUAGACAGUUACAUGUUUGACACAAUUAAGUUGAACAUUCCUGUGAAACUCUGUCAUUCUCAUCACUGUUUAAUCACAAACAUGUAAUGAAAUAUAUAGACUUGUGAAGUUUUGUCCAAUGUCUAUCCCUAAAGUAGAUGAGAAUUUUUUCCAUUAAAUUGGUGACUUCAGUAUUUCCUUUAGAGAGGUGUAUGCAUAAUGUAAACAUUUAAAUGUAUUCAUGACUACAUAAUGUGCAUGUUUAUUUUUAUACACUUGCUUAUAUACCAAUUUAUAAAAUUAUCAUAUAAUGUAUAUUAACUAUACAUCUGGGAACAGCAAUGACAAACAAGGCUUCUUUGUGUUUUAGGGCCAGAUAAGAAAGUAAUUGGUUAAUAGCCAUUUGUCACCACUGGUGAAAAAUCAACUCAAAAUCAUGUUUUAUUAUUUAUUAGAGUUAUGAGCAUUAUCUAUAAGAUUCAUGACACCAUGACUUGGUGUGGUGGCUCACACCUGUAAUCCCAGCAUUUUGGGAGGCCGAGGCAUGUGGAUCGCUUGAAUACAGGAGUUAAAGACUAGCUUGGACAGCAUAGGGAGCCCUCAUCUCUAUUAAAAAAAAAAAUUAAAAAAAAACAACACUAGGCAGGCAUAGUGGCAUUCACCUGUGGUCCCAGUUACUCAGUAGGCUGAGGUGGAUCCCUUGAACCCAGGAGGUCGAGGCUACAGUGCCUGUGAUCAUUACACUGUACUGCAGCCUGGGCAACAAAAUGAAACCCUGUCUCAAAAAAGAAAAAAAAUUCCGUGACACCUUGACAUUUGUACUAUUUCAUUUUGUUUUCACAAUUUUGUGAGAUACAAAUUGUUGAAAGAAAUAGGCUCAGAGUGCUGAAAGACUAGCGCUCUGAGACUAGUUUUUAAAGACUUAAAAAUUCACUACAGUUGUCAAGUAACAUACCCAAACACACAUUUUGAGAUUCUCAAAAUAUAUUGUUUCUUUUAGUACUUUAUACCAGGGUCACCAGCUUGAUAUGACAGUCCAGAAUGUAUUUAUAAUAUGGACAUUUCUGGCUUAUUAUUGAUUGCCUGCAGCAUCUCCAAAAUUCAGCCAAACUUAACGUUUUUAAAACUGAAAACUACAAUUCUUAUGUUUAUGGCUGUAUCUUUACCAGCUUGAAGACAGGUACAUUGUUUUAUUCAUUUUUGUAUCCUUCAUGGUGCCCAAAAUAAGUACUCAGAAAAUAUUUUGGGGAUGAGUAAAAUGUAUAUUGUGAUGUUUAGUUGAAUUAGCGGGAAAAAAGCUGAUACAAUCACCUCAGAAACUUUUUUAGGAGGUCGUACACAUUUUCAGCACAUUCAUGUGAAGAUAGUUUAUUUGGGUUUGUACUUUAAAUUGGUGGAACCAUUGCCUCAAUUUCCCACUUCAUUUUUAAUGACGUCAUGCCUUGGAGAGAUAGGCUUAAGUAGGUGAUGCAGAUGACAGUCACCUGUAUGAUAUGCCUCUGGAUAUGUUUGUUGGGCUUAGAUAGUCCGGAUGACCCACAACAAAAGGGUCAUCUAGAAUAUCUAAACACAGCUUUAAUGAGAAUGUGUAAAGAGUGGGGUUAUGAGAGUUUGGGUCUUCAUAAUUCUCCCCUUCAUGCCGACGACCCUUGUGGACCACAUAUUUCUAUACUUUUCUGUCAAGGGAUUAGAGGAUAAGACUACUCUAUCAGUGGUUCCCAAAUGUGACUGCUUAUCACAAUCACCUGUGUAGUUUCAAAGGCAAUUCAGAUUCUCAAGUCCCACUCUAAACAGAAAAUAUUUAGAUUUAGGAUUAGAAAAUACUGGGUGAAGUCCAAGGCAUCUGUAACUGUAAUAACACUCUCCCUUGAAUUCCAAUGAUCAGUCAGGUUUGGGAAGUUCUGGUUUCAAUAACUUGUUCAAGGUCACACAGAACCCUAAAUAGAGCCAGAAACUAACUCAAAUCUUUUGAGUCCAAGUUAAAUAUAUUUUCAUUGGACUCCUGCUGUCCAUUUACUGACAAUAUAUGAUGGGGUAGGAUGAAGAGGUGGGGAGAAAAGUAGCAAUUUUAGUUUUUUCAUUUUUAUUUUUUACCAUAUUCUAUGACAUGGUUUUAAGAUUAAAUGAGCUAACAUCCAUAGAGUGCUUAGAACAGUAUCUGGCACAUGGUAAUUAGGUGUAACGGUUCAACGAAUAAGUCUCCAUUGUCCAGUCAUGGCAUUCACUUUGCCUGGGGUUACAUUAGGUAACAUUUUAUUGGAUAUCGACUUUUUCUAUGAAGAAAAAAAUGUAUGUAAAUAAAGGUGGAAUCUUUAGCCUUUAUUUGUCAUGGAAGCCCUGAAUUUGUAUAGCUGAAAAUAUUUCUAUAUUGUUUCUUUUCAUCUUUUCUGAUAUAUUAAGAAAAUGUUAAUGAUAUACUUAUUAAAUAAAAUUGUGGAUGUAUAGCUGUGUAGUAUUUUUAUAUUAUCUAAUUUAGCAUAUAAGAUAAGGUAUUUUACAUUGUCUUCCUAUCACUGAACUAGCUCCAAAAUUGAUUCUUA